RNAcentral lists this ribosomal RNA (495 nucleotides) under uncultured bacterium. RNAcentral's name for it is "partial 16S ribosomal RNA". It matches the Rfam family "Bacterial small subunit ribosomal RNA", at positions 28 to 507 of the family's 1533-position model. The record is from RNAcentral.
GACGAACGCUGGCGGCGUGCCUAAUACAUGCAAGUAGAACGCUGAAGGAGGAGCUUGCUUCUCUGGAUGAGUUGCGAACGGGUGAGUAACGCGUAGGUAACCUGCCUGGUAGCGGGGGAUAACUAUUGGAAACGAUAGCUAAUACCGCAUAAGAGUAGAUGUUGCAUGACAUUUGCUUAAAAGGUGCAAUUGCAUCACUACCAGAUGGACCUGCGUUGUAUUAGCUAGUUGGUGAGGUAACGGCUCACCAAGGCAACGAUACAUAGCCGACCUGAGAGGGUGAUCGGCCACACUGGGACUGAGACACGGCCCAGACUCCUACGGGAGGCAGCAGUAGGGAAUCUUCGGCAAUGGACGGAAGUCUGACCGAGCAACGCCGCGUGAGUGAAGAAGGUUUUCGGAUCGUAAAGCUCUGUUGCAAGAGAAGAACGAGUGUGAGAGUGGAAAGUUCACACUGUGACGGUAUCUUACCAGAAAGGGACGGCUAACUACGUG